GCCACAAAAGCCGAUUGAGUUGGU
RNAcentral lists this non-coding RNA (24 nucleotides) under Arabidopsis thaliana (thale cress). Lineage: Eukaryota; Viridiplantae; Streptophyta; Magnoliopsida; Brassicales; Brassicaceae. The record is from RNAcentral.